UAUGUGAUCGUCUCUCGCAUAUCAAUAAGCGGAGGAAAAGAAACUAACAAGGAUUCCCCUAGUAACGGCGAGUGAAGCGGGAAGAGCUCAAAUUUGAAAUCUUAAAGGGUUUCCCUUUACGAAUUGUAGUUUAAAGAAGUGUUUUCUGUUGAGGUUUUGGUAAAAGUUCUUUGGAAUAGGACAUCAUAGAGGGUGAGAAUCCCGUAUUUGACCUUUACUUUCAACUUUGUGAUACACUUUCAAAGAGUCGGAUUGUUUGGGAAUGCAGUCCAAAAUGGGUGGUAAAUUUCAUCUAAAGCUAAAUAUUGGCGAGAGACCGAUAGCGAACAAGUACCGUGAGGGAAAGAUGAAAAGAACUUUGAAAAGAGAGUUAAACAGUACGUGAAAUUGUCAAAAGGGAAGCGUUUGACACCAGUGUUGUUUUUCUGAAAAUCAAUUAAAGAACUGUUUAUGCUAAGUUGUUUAGACUUUAUCAGCUAUCUGCUUAGUUUUGAGCUUUUCUUUAAUGCACUUUUCAGUUAACAAGUCAACAUCAAUUUCUUUUGCUGUAAAAAAGCUUGAGGAAGGUGGCUUGAGAUUCGUCUUAAGUGUUUAUAGCCUCUUGCCUAUGCAGUCGGAGAGAUUGAGGUCUGCAGCGUAGAUCCUUCGGGGCUAAAUGCAUUUGUGCUAAGUUAUAGCAUUUUAUAGACAACUUGUUGACUAUGAUUUGUCUUGUAGCUUACUCGCUUAUGUUAUUUUACCUACGCUUAGGAUGUUGAAGAUGUAGCACAUCAU
This 774-nucleotide ribosomal RNA is filed under the name uncultured Neocallimastigales. RNAcentral's name for it is "partial large subunit ribosomal RNA". It matches the Rfam family "Eukaryotic large subunit ribosomal RNA", at positions 24 to 635 of the family's 3401-position model. Lineage: Eukaryota; Fungi; Neocallimastigomycota; Neocallimastigomycetes; Neocallimastigales. The record is from RNAcentral.